RNAcentral lists this ribosomal RNA (426 nucleotides) under uncultured Sphingobacteriales bacterium. RNAcentral's name for it is "bacterial SSU rRNA". It matches the Rfam family "Bacterial small subunit ribosomal RNA", at positions 955 to 1382 of the family's 1533-position model. Lineage: Bacteria; Pseudomonadati; Bacteroidota; Sphingobacteriia; Sphingobacteriales. The record is from RNAcentral.
UGAUACGCGAGGAACCUUACCUGGGCUCGAACGUAAGAUGACUGUAGGUGAAAGCUUACAUCUCUUCGGAGCAUUUUACGAGGUGCUGCAUGGUUGUCGUCAGCUCGUGCCGUGAGGUGUCGGGUUAAGUCCCAUAACGAGCGCAACCCUACCUUUAGUUGCCAUCAGGUAAUGCUGGGGACUCUAAAGGAACUGCCUACGCAAGUAGUGAGGAAGGCGGGGAUGACGUCAAAUCAGCACGGCCCUUACGUCCAGGGCUACACACGUGCUACAAUGGCCGAUACAGAGGGCAGCUACCUGGUGACAGGAUGCAAAUCUCCAAAGUCGGUCUCAGUUCGGAUCGGAGUCUGCAACCCGACUCCGUGAAGUUGGAUUCGCUAGUAAUCGCGCAUCAGCCAUGGCGCGGUGAAUACGUUCCCGGGCCUU